UAGGGAAUUUUACGCAAUGGGCGAAAGCCUGACGUAGCGACACCGCGUGAACGAAGAAGCCUUUUGGGGUGUAAAGUUCUGUCGGCUGGGAAGAAAAAAAUGACGGUACCAGCAAAGGAAGCAUCGGCUAACUACGUGCCAGCAGCCGCGGUAAUACGUAGGCAGCAAGCGUUGUUCGGAGUUACUGGGCGUAAAGAGUGCGUAGGCGGUUCUCCAAGUCUGGUGUGAAAUCUCCCGGCUCAACUGGGAGGGUGCGCCGGAAACUGGGGGGCUCGAGUAUGGGAAAGGCAGGCGGAAUUCCUGGUGUAGCGGUGAAAUGCGUAGAUAUCAGGAGGAACACCGGCGGUGUAGACGGCUUGCUAGACCAUGACUGACGCUGAGGCACGAAAGCGUGGGUAGCAAACAGG
RNAcentral lists this ribosomal RNA (407 nucleotides) under uncultured bacterium. Its description in RNAcentral is "bacterial SSU rRNA". It matches the Rfam family "Bacterial small subunit ribosomal RNA", at positions 355 to 776 of the family's 1533-position model. The record is from RNAcentral.